This 2901-nucleotide ribosomal RNA is filed under the name mouse gut metagenome. RNAcentral describes it as "bacterial LSU rRNA". It matches the Rfam family "Bacterial large subunit ribosomal RNA". The record is from RNAcentral.
UUAAGCGACUAAGCGUACACGGUGGAUGCCCUGGCAGUCAGAGGCGAUGAAGGACGUGCUAAUCUGCGAUAAGCGUCGGUAAGGUGAUAUGAACCGUUAUAACCGGCGAUUUCCGAAUGGGGAAACCCAGUGUGAUUCGUCACACUAUCAUUAACUGAAUCCAUAGGUUAAUGAGGCGAACCGGGGGAACUGAAACAUCUAAGUACCCCGAGGAAAAGAAAUCAACCGAGAUUCCCCCAGUAGCGGCGAGCGAACGGGGAGCAGCCCAGAGCCUGAAUCAGUGUGUGUGUUAGUGGAAGCGUCUGGAAAGGCGCGCGAUACAGGGUGACAGCCCCGUACACAAAAAUGCACAUACUGUGAGCUCGAUGAGUAGGGCGGGACACGUGGUAUCCUGUCUGAAUAUGGGGGGACCAUCCUCCAAGGCUAAAUACUCCUGACUGACCGAUAGUGAACCAGUACCGUGAGGGAAAGGCGAAAAGAACCCCGGCGAGGGGAGUGAAAAAGAACCUGAAACCGUGUACGUACAAGCAGUGGGAGCACGCUUAGGCGUGUGACUGCGUACCUUUUGUAUAAUGGGUCAGCGACUUAUAUUCUGUAGCAAGGUUAACCGAAUAGGGGAGCCGAAGGGAAACCGAGUCUUAACUGGGCGUUAAGUUGCAGGGUAUAGACCCGAAACCCGGUGAUCUAGCCAUGGGCAGGUUGAAGGUUGGGUAACACUAACUGGAGGACCGAACCGACUAAUGUUGAAAAAUUAGCGGAUGACUUGUGGCUGGGGGUGAAAGGCCAAUCAAACCGGGAGAUAGCUGGUUCUCCCCGAAAGCUAUUUAGGUAGCGCCUCGUGAAUUCAUCUCCGGGGGUAGAGCACUGUUUCGGCAAGGGGGUCAUCCCGACUUACCAACCCGAUGCAAACUGCGAAUACCGGAGAAUGUUAUCACGGGAGACACACGGCGGGUGCUAACGUCCGUCGUGAAGAGGGAAACAACCCAGACCGCCAGCUAAGGUCCCAAAGUCAUGGUUAAGUGGGAAACGAUGUGGGAAGGCCCAGACAGCCAGGAUGUUGGCUUAGAAGCAGCCAUCAUUUAAAGAAAGCGUAAUAGCUCACUGGUCGAGUCGGCCUGCGCGGAAGAUGUAACGGGGCUAAACCAUGCACCGAAGCUGCGGCAGCGACACUAUGUGUUGUUGGGUAGGGGAGCGUUCUGUAAGCCUGUGAAGGUGUACUGUGAGGUAUGCUGGAGGUAUCAGAAGUGCGAAUGCUGACAUAAGUAACGAUAAAGCGGGUGAAAAGCCCGCUCGCCGGAAGACCAAGGGUUCCUGUCCAACGUUAAUCGGGGCAGGGUGAGUCGACCCCUAAGGCGAGGCCGAAAGGCGUAGUCGAUGGGAAACAGGUUAAUAUUCCUGUACUUGGUGUUACUGCGAAGGGGGGACGGAGAAGGCUAUGUUGGCCGGGCGACGGUUGUCCCGGUUUAAGCGUGUAGGCUGGUUUUCCAGGCAAAUCCGGAAAACUAAGGCUGAGGCGUGAUGACGAGGCACUACGGUGCUGAAGCAACAAAUGCCCUGCUUCCAGGAAAAGCCUCUAAGCAUCAGGUAACAUCAAAUCGUACCCCAAACCGACACAGGUGGUCAGGUAGAGAAUACCAAGGCGCUUGAGAGAACUCGGGUGAAGGAACUAGGCAAAAUGGUGCCGUAACUUCGGGAGAAGGCACGCUGAUAUGUAGGUGAAGUCCCUCGCGGAUGGAGCUGAAAUCAGUCGAAGAUACCAGCUGGCUGCAACUGUUUAUUAAAAACACAGCACUGUGCAAACACGAAAGUGGACGUAUACGGUGUGACGCCUGCCCGGUGCCGGAAGGUUAAUUGAUGGGGUCAGCGCAAGCGAAGCUCUUGAUCGAAGCCCCGGUAAACGGCGGCCGUAACUAUAACGGUCCUAAGGUAGCGAAAUUCCUUGUCGGGUAAGUUCCGACCUGCACGAAUGGCGUAAUGAUGGCCAGGCUGUCUCCACCCGAGACUCAGUGAAAUUGAACUCGCUGUGAAGAUGCAGUGUACCCGCGGCAAGACGGAAAGACCCCGUGAACCUUUACUAUAGCUUGACACUGAACAUUGAGCCUUGAUGUGUAGGAUAGGUGGGAGGCUUUGAAGUGUGGACGCCAGUCUGCAUGGAGCCGACCUUGAAAUACCACCCUUUAAUGUUUGAUGUUCUAACGUUGACCCGUAAUCCGGGUUGCGGACAGUGUCUGGUGGGUAGUUUGACUGGGGCGGUCUCCUCCUAAAGAGUAACGGAGGAGCACGAAGGUUGGCUAAUCCUGGUCGGACAUCAGGAGGUUAGUGCAAUGGCAUAAGCCAGCUUGACUGCGAGCGUGACGGCGCGAGCAGGUGCGAAAGCAGGUCAUAGUGAUCCGGUGGUUCUGAAUGGAAGGGCCAUCGCUCAACGGAUAAAAGGUACUCCGGGGAUAACAGGCUGAUACCGCCCAAGAGUUCAUAUCGACGGCGGUGUUUGGCACCUCGAUGUCGGCUCAUCACAUCCUGGGGCUGAAGUAGGUCCCAAGGGUAUGGCUGUUCGCCAUUUAAAGUGGUACGCGAGCUGGGUUUAGAACGUCGUGAGACAGUUCGGUCCCUAUCUGCCGUGGGCGCUGGAGAACUGAGGGGGGCUGCUCCUAGUACGAGAGGACCGGAGUGGACGCAUCACUGGUGUUCGGGUUGUCAUGCCAAUGGCACUGCCCGGUAGCUAAAUGCGGAAGAGAUAAGUGCUGAAAGCAUCUAAGCACGAAACUUGCCCCGAGAUGAGUUCUCCCUGACUCCUUGAGAGUCCUGAAGGAACGUUGAAGACGACGACGUUGAUAGGCCGGGUGUGUAAGCGCAGCGAUGCGUUGAGCUAACCGGUACUAAUGAACCGUGAGGCUUAACCUU